Molecule: ribosomal RNA, 476 nt
Filed under: Squatina dumeril (sand devil)
Lineage: Eukaryota; Metazoa; Chordata; Chondrichthyes; Squatinidae
Description: partial 12S ribosomal RNA
Rfam family: Bacterial small subunit ribosomal RNA
Source: RNAcentral
UAAUUUACCAUAUUGUCCGCCAGAGUACUACAAGCGCUAGCUUAAAACCCAAAGGACUUGGCGGUGCCUCAGACCCCCCUAGAGGAGCCUGUUCUAUAACCGAUAAUCCCCGUUAAACCUCACCACUCCUUGCCAAUACCGCCUAUAUACCGCCGUCGUCAGCUCACCUUGUGAAAGGAAAAAAGUAAGCAAAAAGAAUUAAAUUCCAAACGUCAGGUCGAGGUGUAGCGAAUGAAGUGGAAAGAAAUGGGCUACAUUUUCUAUCAAGAAAACACGGAUAGUAAACUGAAAAACUACUUAAAGGUGGAUUUAACAGUAAGGGAAAAUUAGAACAUUUCCCUGAAGCCGGCUCUGAAGCGCGCACACACCGCCCGUCACUCUCCUCAACAAAUCCAUGCUUUUAUUUAAAAAAAUAAUUUAAUCAAGAGGAGGCAAGUCGUAACAUGGUAAGUGUACUGGAAAGUGCACUUGGUAUC